UACUGCAAAACACCAAGGAUAAUAUUAUAAUAAAUGGUGAUCAAUCACUUAAAAAAAGUUAAAUAGAAAACAAAAAAAAUCAUUUGGGAUCUGACACAAAAGUAGCACUGGGUCUUUAGGGGUUCGAGUCAUAAUGUUAGCAGUGAAACAGGUCUGUACACUUCCAUUACUGCAGAAAAGCUGGAAAUUAACAACCCAUUACUUGUAUUUUUUUAUGCUUUUUUAUGUUUGCCACCCCUGAUGUGGAUAUUUUACAUAUUUUUACUAAAAUGCUACUAACAAAUCACUCCAAUACAGGACUUUUAACACAUGAACUCCUGUGUGAAACUACUUUUUUUAAAGUACUACUGUCACAGCUUAUGUGUGCAGGUGUAAAUACAGACUAUGGGUUUAGACCCCAGAACUACAGGUAAUUUGGGUUAAAUAUGCAUUUUUACAGUUUUAAUAAUGUUACAGGCUAACUGUCAGAGGGUGUAAAUAUCUGCAAGUAUCUGCUUUAAAAAUAAAAUGGAAAACUAAUGUAAAUUUCAAGAACCAAAGAGUUCAUUAAAAGAGCUUUUGUUGCAGCAGUGGAAGUAAAUAAAGUCCUUAAGAAUGAUGCAGACAGUUCCUAAAGGUGGCUGAUUUUGGUGAAUUCCUUACAAACCUGUCUGUACAAAAGUUACAAGAGUUAGAACAGACUGAAGCAUCAUUUAGUCGAAGUGCAGAAAGUAGAAUAUCGCCAUCUUAAAGGUGAGAAAAAACAGCUAAUAAAGACAGACCAUUAAAUCCUUUAAAUGGAGCUGUGUCCUUUAGAGAAAAUACCUGCAGGUUCCUAAAAAAUUUGACCAGUAGUCUAAGAAAUGACUAAAAAAAAAAGCAGCUGGGGUUUUACUGCUGCCUCUGAAACAACCUGGAAAAUCUUACUGAAAGACCAGUCGUCUUUUGUCUCGUGCUCAUGUUUUUCUCUUUUAUGUGUCUGUAUUUUUCAUGUAUUUCUUUAGAACUUGUUUCGUUUUGUAACCAAAGAUCAACAUUAAUGUAAUCGAUGUUUUUAUGCCGACAAGCUUGUGUUUUGUACCUAAGGGAACAGCUCUAUCCUAAAUGUGUAUUAUUCACUUUAGGAAUAAUUCUCAUGUGUAAAUAAGAUUUAAAAAGGGAAAUCAGUCGAACUAUGGGAGCAGAGUCUGUGUCUCAAUUUACUACAGCGGGUCAGUGCACUAUAACUUAUGUCUCCUGAGAGAUUUUGACCGGUGUUUUAUGAAGGGAUGCUCAUUAAACACUUUUCUGAAUGAGCAAAGUGUCUGUCAGUCAUUUACAUUCGCCAGUAAAAACACAACACGUUAGGCUAAUUAUUACCAGAUCAUGAGGAUGAUGAGUGGAAUGAUUGUGCACAGCUGAAGUAUUGCACAACAGGGCUCAGACUAUUCCAUACGUUAUUGUAUGGAAUACAAUCUCAUCUUUUUUCUUCUUUUUCCUUGAAAGUGACUCAAAUGUUGAUUGAAUGAAUGAUUUAAGUAGUUCAUACAACUUUAAAUAUUCUUGAAAACCACUUGUCACACUGGAAAAAUGCCAGCUUUUUAAGCUUAGGUCAAAUGUGAUACACAAACCUUUCAGUGGUCACAUGAUGCACAAAUGCAGGCGAAGCAAAGUGCUUUUUUUUUUUUUAAAGCCGAGAGCUGAGCGACAGGUGAGGGCAUCGCACACCACAGCACUACUAACCCACAGCCACUAGCACCACAACAUGCACUGGAAACAUCACAACUACUACUACUGCUCUGCUUGCCACACAGCUCACACUGACUGGACGGUGUGGGCAGUGUCAAUCAGUGAUGAAUACAGCUACAUCUACAUGCACUACACACACAGAGCACACCACUGUCUGGUCAGAUCACAGUCCGCCGUCCACAGAGGCCAGUCCAGGAUCUCAGUGUCACACAGUAAUGAGGUGAAGAUGAUGAUGAUGAUGAUGAUGUACUACAUUAACAAAGGCAUGAAAUGUUACGUGACAAAUUUCUGUGGUGAGAAUGAGAACAAGAUGAAAAGUGAUGUUACAUAAAUCCACCAGAGCUCAUUAUUUUCAGUCUCAAAAAAAAUAUGUAAGGUUGAUGCAAA
Molecule: long non-coding RNA, 2094 nt
Organism: Sphaeramia orbicularis (orbiculate cardinalfish)
Lineage: Eukaryota; Metazoa; Chordata; Actinopteri; Kurtiformes; Apogonidae
Exons: 2
Source: RefSeq, a predicted model, not a curated record